AUCUUAUCGGUUGAUCCGAUCAG
RNAcentral lists this small nuclear RNA (23 nucleotides) under Arabidopsis thaliana (thale cress). RNAcentral describes it as "snRNA_14357". Lineage: Eukaryota; Viridiplantae; Streptophyta; Magnoliopsida; Brassicales; Brassicaceae. The record is from RNAcentral.